UUCGAACCCACGACCCUCUGUUUCAAAGUCAGAAGACUUAUCCACUGGGCCACAACGCUCCACAAGAAAUCUGAUCAAUCUGGUUUCUGUCCCUUCCAUUUGGUGAGUACCGUGUCACAGUGUGAAUGUCUUUAUGCUGGAAGAGUGUCCCCCAAUAACAAGGUUGUUAAUAGAGCAGAAUUCCAUGAGGCAUUCCCCAUUUUCGUUUUUCACCCCACAUCCAUACUUCCUCAUAGUCAUAUCGUAACCGCUGUUGUUUCCGACCUUAGCAUGUAGAUCCCCCAUCACAACCUUCAUGUCAUGUCCAGGGAUACUGUCAAUCUCACGCUGAAGUUGCUAAUAGAAGGCAUCCUUGAUUUCAUCGUCAUUGGUUUGAAGUUUGAACCAAACUUGGAUGGUAGAUGUACUUAGGCGACCUGCAUGUUAGAUAUAAAUUUAUUUAUUUCUGUUAAAAAAAUGAUAUGAUCAAAGUAGCAGUGUAAAUACCUGUUCAAAAUAAUACAUACUCACAAUAACGUGUAACGCUGCAGUUCGAAACAGUCAAACAGGGAGGACCUAUGGGUCAUUGGUUGAGAAAUGCUAUUAGAAAUUGAAGUUUUUAGACUUGGAUUUAGGGCAGAUAGCGCUGCAUUUUCCAUUUCAAGCAUCAAGAACAUGACUGCUGAAAAUUGAGGCCUUCCUGAUGAUUUCCUGCCUUUAGUCACAGAAGUCAAACUAUGGGUUCCAAUUCCGAUUCCACUCGUUCCACUGGUUAUUUCAAUUCUGGUUCUGAGUUUGUUUUCAACCGCCAUUACAGUAGCCGUUCCGGUCCCAUCUCCGUAUCCAGAUCCACCAUGAUUAUGACUGUCAAAUCUCGCUAUGGACAAGAUUUGUAAAGAGAGUCAAAGGGAAGACAGUUCCGUCGUCAGAUGAUUAUUGACUGGGCAUGGGGUGACCUUGUGAAUGCUCUCUCUGGACUUUUCUGUGCAUCCUUAAACUUCAUUGAUGAAACAAGCACAGUCAGACAUCCACUCUCUUUUCGACCACAAGGAAUAUCUUCAGGUAUGUCUCAUCAUUUUACUUUCUCCAAUGCUUUAGUUCAUGGACCCCCAGUUGUUUUUAACUUGUUUAAUUUGUAAAGCUUUUCAGAAAAAAGCAAAUUGAAAUUUAAACUCUAUAUGAACAGUCAGUACUUCACAGUGCAUUUUUUUAUUUUACCUUCAUACUAUAAAUAUUUUCAAGCUAUCUUUUUGUUAAAAGAAAAAGCAGUCCAAAAUCUUGCCGCAGGCUUAUGGGACAAGCAAAAGAUUGAUGUAAUCCUGAUUGAUUUUUCGAAGGCCUUCAACUGGGUACCACAUGAACGCUUUCUGGUAUCGGAGGUCAGCUCUUGUCCUGGAUCUGUGAAUUCCUCAUAGGACAUAUCCAACAAGUGGCACUAGAGGAAGCCAAGAGUGGCACAUCAAUUCUAUCUUCUGGAGUGUCCUAGGGGUCUAUCCUUGGGCCUCUGCUCUUU
RNAcentral lists this long non-coding RNA (1492 nucleotides) under Lytechinus variegatus (green sea urchin). RNAcentral describes it as "uncharacterized LOC121408122". Lineage: Eukaryota; Metazoa; Echinodermata; Echinoidea; Temnopleuroida; Toxopneustidae. The record is from RNAcentral.